GUCACUGUAGUUUAAAUAAAACAUUGAAUUGUGGUUUCAAAAAUGCUUUAUAGCCAGUAACC
Molecule: transfer RNA, 62 nt
Filed under: Oasisia sp. n. MM-2023
Lineage: Eukaryota; Metazoa; Annelida; Polychaeta; Sabellida; Siboglinidae
Description: tRNA-His
Source: RNAcentral